GAGAAAUCGGAAAAACCAAAAAAGAAAGAAAAAGACAAACCUAAUAGUGAAUCAUAUGACACGUGCAGAGCGAGGCACUGUGAGACUCAGGAUUAAGGAGCUGGUAAGAUGGAUAGCUCACCAGGGAAAGGUGUUUGUUUGCAGCUGAGCCUGAUGAGCUGUUUGAUGCUCCCAUCCCGCACGACAGAAGGAGAGAACUGACUUCUGCAAGCUGUCCUCUGAGCUCCAAUGAGGGCCAUUGUAUGAACCAUCUCCACCCACCCCACCUCCAACCCUCACAAUGAAAAAACCUCCUAGACGGAUGGAUGCUGCUGACCUUGCUAGUUAUCAGUGGCAGUGGGCAUUCUUGAUGCCUAACCCUUUUAUGCUUUUUGCUGCUUCUGGAAAUGAAGGAGAAACCAGCUCAGGAAGACCUCAAGGUAAACCUGGAAGGAAGACUAGACUCACCUCUGGGGUCUGCCUCCGUACACAGUGCGCUCCCCAGGCGGAAACUAGCUCUUUCUAUGAUGGAUAGUGGAGACAGAGAGAACACAGCCAAGGUCCUUGCUGGAAUCCGUUUUCUCACGAAAUUCUCAGGCUUCCCUCUUCCCUUGGCUCUGGCUUCCUUAACACCCUCCCCACCCCCACCCCGCCCUUACCCAGCCCUUACAUCUGCUGCUAUUGUCACCACUCAGAAGCCCAAUUUCCAUGAGCGUUCCUAUUCUCAUCCAGUGCCAGCCAGGGCCUAUCCAACAAUCCAACAGCCUUCUAAAAGUGGCAGCCCAUCCAUAAACACGGGGUAAAAUAAUAAAGGCUUUUGUCCCUUAA
Mesocricetus auratus (golden hamster) is the source of this 807-nucleotide long non-coding RNA. RefSeq lists it as uncharacterized. The record is from RefSeq and is a predicted model, not a curated record. Lineage: Eukaryota; Metazoa; Chordata; Mammalia; Rodentia; Cricetidae. The transcript is spliced from 4 exons.